Non-coding RNA from Phasianus colchicus (ring-necked pheasant), 11433 nucleotides. NCBI's taxonomy places the organism in Eukaryota, Metazoa, Chordata, Aves, Galliformes, Phasianidae. The record is from RefSeq and is a predicted model, not a curated record.
GCGGGAACUCCGCGCUGUGGGGAGCGGGCGGCGGCCAUUUUGGGGCGGGUCUUUUCUCGGCUCUGGGGCCCCCCGAGUCCUUCCUUUAUCUGCGUGGUUGUGCUCAGUUAUUUUCUCGGCUUGUAUCGACCAAGUGGUUCCUCAGCAUUUUGGAAUAACCUCCUGUAACAACACUUCAGAUACUCGAUGUGCCUUAUUAGUUCUACAAGGGAAUGCCUUCGGCCACUGUAAAAAGGUACAAAAAAAGGUUAGUACCAACAUACAGCGAUACCCCCACUUUUCUUGGGAGUUCUGAGAAAUCAACUUGCCAUUAUUGCCCUGGAAGGUUCUCUUUCCCAAUAGACCCAUUUGUACCCUGUUCCUGGUACUAGGAUACUUUGUAGUGUCUGUUUGCCCAACGUAUUUUCUUAUCUUCCCUUAAAACCAAUUUCCACAGAAUACUAAAGGACAUAACAGUGUGUCCAUCUGGGUGUGCACCCAUCUGUCAGCUUGCUCUCUUCCCUUCUAAAUCAUUAAUUACAUUCCUGUACUCUUCAGAAUAUUUUACAGGAUCUGACUCAGGUUCAGAGAUUUUAAGUUUCCCAUCUGGAAUUAAAGCCUUCUUCAACUACCUGUUCUGCCACCUGAUCCACCAUCUUAUUUCCAGUUUCCUGUACAGUGUUACCUUUCUGACAUCCUUUACAAUAUAUAAUGUUUAUAUAUUAUAUAAUGUAUAAUAGCCACGCUCUUUGGUAGAUUUACAUCUGCUGUUUUCCUUGUAUGUGAGCAAUCCUUGCUCUUUUCAGAUGGUGCUAUGAGCGUGUAGCACCCCAAAUACAUUAUUAGCAUCUGUCCAUAUAUUUAAGGCUCUUGUCAAGGCAGUUAUGUCAGCCUUCUGAGGGAAAGUUCCCAGAGGUAAUGGCUGUGCUUUGAUUACCUUCUCAGUAGCAGUUACUGCAUAUCCUGCCUUACGGUUUCUUUGUCUCACGAAACUGCUACUGUUGUCUUCUGCAACCUUCUACGGGUUUGUCCUUCAGGUCCAACCGGCUGGAAUGUGCAGCUUCAGUUGUUUCAAAGCAGACAAUGAAAUAGUGGUUCUCCAGGAGCUCUGCUAAGGAAAGGUUGAUAAUAUUAGUUACAAUUAUUUCUACAUCAUCCUGCUCUACCAGUCUGGCUUGGUAUUUCAGAAACCUUUGGGGUGAGAGCCAAUGCCCCCCUUUUACCUCCAAUACAGCAGACACUGUAUGAGAUAUUAAAACUGUUAUUCUUUGGCAUAGUGUAAAUUUACUGGCUUCUUGGAUAUUGAGCACUAGUGCAGCCACCACCCUCAAACACGCUGGCCAUCCCUUACUCACUUCAUCAAGCUGUUUGGAGAAGUGUGCCACUGCCCUUUGAUAGGGUCCAAGGUUCUUGGCAAGGACUCCCAAGGCUGUUCCUUGUUUUUCAUGCAAGAAGUGCCAAAAGUGCUGAUAGCCCCAAAGCAGGGGGCCUUCAUGAAUUCUUGUUUAAGCUGAUAGAAUGCCCUCUUUGCCUCCCCAUCAAAAGAGCAUAAAGGGGUUUACCAACGGUCCGCAGCUGUGCAUCCACAGUCAGCACCAUCCUGUCAUUCCUAGGAAUGUAUGGAGUUCUUGGCAGUUUGUGGCUCAGGGGUUUGGCAGAUGGCUUCUUUCCUGACAGUCCUAAGGUUUGACAUCCAGCUGUAAUCUCAUACAAAAUGAGCUAUUUGUGCUUUCUGUUGAGAAACUUGAUAAUCAUUUAAACCAAGAAACUCAGCAAACUCACAGUCCUUUGCACGCAAAGAACUUUGUUUCCAUGGCAUCCACGUACUGCAGUGAAGUGAAGUUUCACCCUGGGAUGGAGGAACCCAAGUCCCAGGUUCACGAGUUGACCAGUUCUCAAAAAUCAUUGAGCUGUUCUAGCAACCCUGGGUAACACUGUCCAGGUUAACUGAAUCUUUUGUCCCCAUAUUGGGGUUUUCUUAUUCAAAGGCAAAUAAUUUUAGACUUCCUUUGGCAAAACCAGGCAGAAAAAGGUGUCUUUCAAAUCCAGAAUGGCAAACCCCACCUACUCAUCCCUUAACUUGGUUAAUAAAAGGCAUGGAUUUGCCACCAUGGGUUGUAUAUCUUCAACGAUUCUAUUAAUUGCCCUCAAAUCUUGUACUAAGCUAUAGCUCUUGCCAUCCAAUUUUUCAUUGGCAAGAUUGGAGUGUUGUAUUUGGAUUUCUAUCCAAUUAAUAAUCCAAAAUCCAAAAAAGUGUUUAUUAUUUCUUUUAUCCUUCUACAACCUCGUAUCCUCAAAGGUCACUGCUUUACCCUGACUGGGCUGGCUUUUAUCUUUAACUUGACUUCUGCAUUUUUGGCUCUGCCAGGCAUUCCUGAUGCCUGCAACCCUGUGUAUACUGAUUUAGGAUUUACGUAACUUCUGAGGGUACAACAAUGCUUUUCCCAGUUUGUGUUAAAGCCAGACUUAACGUUUUCAUUCAGUUGGUCCUGCUUGACACUUAGCUCCAAUUUUCUUUACUGAAUUUAAUCUCUACAUUCAACUGCUCUAAUGCAUCAUGCCCAAGUAAUGUUUUUUGAGAACCUGGUAUAUGCAAGAAUUUAUAUAUUCCUACUUGUUCUCCUAGCCUGUAUUUGAUUGGUCCCCAAAAAGUAAACUUCUCUUGCGAGUAGCUCCUACAACUAUUACAAAAAUCAUCUACGGGUAAUAAUUCUUCAUGCAGCACAGAGUAAGAGGCAGCUGUAUCAGAAAAUAAACCUCUUUACCCUGCUUCCUCAGCUUCUUUCAGUCCAGUGGGGGUGGAACUCUCCCUGGGCCCUUCCAGGCUCCCCCUUACCUCUUCCCUGAGGGAAUCUCUGUGUCCUCAGGCCCUGUUCUAGUGCAGCAACAGUAACAGCUGCUGUUGAUCUUCCCAAUUUCCUUACUUGCCUGCUAUCUCUGUUUCUCAAUCAGUUUUUCCAGAUCCCUCGCCUCUCUUCUCAGUAAGGACAUCCCUGUUAUACCUUGCUCAACUUUGCCUCCCUCAGCCUUUGUCUUUCCCAAACCCUUUUCACUUUCCAAAUUUUCAUCAUUACAGAAGCUAUUAACAUUAUAUUUCAGUUUCACUCCCUCCUCUGCCCAGGCUUCCAGGGCUGACACUGGGAUAUCGGGUUUCCUUAGAUCUCUGCAGAUGAAGGCUAUUCUCACUUCCAGUGUUCCAUCCCAUCCACUCCCAGUUGUUCUUACAAGCCAUGUGGGGGGGUGGGGGGGCAGUGUUGGGUAUGUGUUCUUGUGCUGGUGCAAAAUCUGAUAUCCCAAACUCACUGUUUUCCUUAACUGUUUUGCCAUCCCCCCGACCAAUUUCACUAUCUGUACCCUCAAUUACAUUUCCACGUACCGUUCACAAUUGCAUUUCCAUGUACCAUCAAAACAGUUUCUCCCACUCCCUUCAAAAUCCAAAAACCAAACAAUAGAAUUCUUCAACUUCCACAAACACCCAGCGCUUGGUCUCAUGAUUAGGGUACUCAAUUAUAAAACUGGUCCCAUUACUCCAUUUAUGUUCCUGGUUUUCUUAUUAUUAUAUUCCCCCUGGCUCACCAGCAAUGUUUCUCCAGUGAGCCAAAAUACAACCCAGGGGGUCUUCUCAUAUCACUGUAGACACCUCUUGUUCCAUAAGAGCCUCUUAAGUAACACUUUAACAACAUAAACAGUGAACAAUCACAAAGACAGUGACAAUCUGUACAAUUUAUCCUCAGGAUCCUUCUUCUCUCUGCCUUCCUCCAGGGCCAACCUUCCCUCUGCAUUUCUUUCCCACACUUGCAUAGAUGCCCACCUAAUCACACCUCCUUCUUCUCCAAUAAACAACAUAUCAGUGAUAAACAUCAUUUCCAUCCAUGAGAAGAAAUUAGGCUCUAGAAAUUGAUCUAAUCGUUCUGCUACACUUACAAGGUCCUCAAUUAAGGAAUUCAUUUCCUUCUUGAAACUUCUAACUUUUCUGCUAGUAAGAUCAGCAGGCAUCAGCAUACCCUAUUUCCUUUGACCUAAAGAGACUUCCCUAAGAGGAUACAGUGAAGUAUUAGUAAGGUUAGUGUUAGAGAAAGGGAAACUCUCCAGGUCCCAUUCACAUUGCUCCAGCUCCCUCACUAAUUGAGAGUGCAUCCUCUCUCCAGCACCCUGCAUGGGAUCAGCAGCACGGCCUCUCCCCUUCUCUGGAGAGGGAGGUCACUGCAUCUUACAUUGCUUUAGAAAUCGAAGGGGGGGAAGUUAUCUAAGGGAUCCCAUUUAUGAUCUUUCUGCUUCUCCUUUUUCUUUUGAACUUCGACUCCUUCUUGUGAAGAACUGUUUUACUUCUUGCACCCAUUUAGCGGCAAAAGCCAGUUCUGUUUCAGAGAGUUUGCAUAUAAAGUCUGACAUGCCCAAUCUUUGUCAGACCCUUAUUUUGGUCAAAAUAAUGACUUUCCCUGUAGUGGCUCUCUAGGCUAUGUCUGUAUACAGUAUUUAAACAUCUUUUCCCUCUUCUUGUCCCUAGUUUUGGGAUUAUUUUCCAAUUCUGAAGCUUCUUUCCCAAGGGGCUAUCUCUAGGCACGAAUUUGGGGACCCUUUUCCCCUGUUCUUGGAAGCUCCUAUUCCCCAUCCCUCUGGAACACUGCUGUGAAUUCCCCAGCUCACAGGUUACCACACUCCAAUUCUCCCUCCAAUUCUCAGAUUCAGUAGGGCUGUACUGCUGCCACUUUGUCAAGUGCACAGGGUACCACACAGCAACAGCUUCCUGCUGAGACUCACCCUGACCCCCAAGGCAAGAAUUAAAUUCCAUUACCUUGGUCCGUGCACAAAGUUACUGGGUCUGCAGGGAUCAAUACUGUGCUUACCUGCCCCUUGGCUUUCACAUAUCCUGUCCUUUAUGCAACAGUAUCAGUUUCCUAUAGGCCAUCCCAAGGAGGCACCUCACCACCCAGACAAGACCACUGUAAUCAGCAGGGUGCACCUAUCCUGUCCAGAGCAGUAGGGGGACCCCGAAAGAGGUGACAGUAAUCCUGAACAAGCCCCCAAAUUGUUGGAAAUAUCCAAAUAAUUUUUGUCAGGAUGGUAUCUCUGAUAAAAGCAGAUUUUAUUCAUGAUUGCAAUGGCAGUUGUCUCACAAGCAGGAGCAUCCCUAAGGACACAAGGACAGCUUUUUGUACCUCAUUUCCCCCUCUUGUCUCCCCCCCCCUCCCCUGUUUCCCCAUUGGCUGGGUACUCCAGGUUCACAAUCUUAUCAAAGGUUUACAUGUGUUAAUUGCUUGCUAUACAGCAGUUGUUGGUAGCUUAUACAUGUACAUUGUUCAUUAUUUAACUUCUCCAAUUCUCUAUUACUCAGGUCUUGUCUGCUCAGCACCAAAUAUUAGUAAGGCUAAAGCUGGACAGACAGGAGCUGCAGUUUUUGUGCCUGUAAACCUACUGAGAUCAGGAAUUGAGUAAAGCAGGGCCACUCACAUAAGGGUUAAGUAGACUAAACUUAGAAAAACAAUAAGGGAAGACCAGCAGGACUUGUGGACCUCUUUGCAGUCAGGACCUUAUGUCUUGCAAUCUACCCCUUAUAAGGGGAAGAACAGCCUAAAGCAACUGAUUUUGACCAGUUUGAAUGGGGGGGCUAUUGUAAUGUAAAAAGGUCAGGCUGAGGAAGACCUCUGACUUCAUCCCCACGACCACCAGGUGGAGACCCUCCCUACGAACUGCACACGCAUCAGAGGGGGGGACAGCAAUGAGGUCGCAGAAAAACAAUGAAUAUGUAGAUGAGCUCCAAGGAAUCUUCUGAGUAUGUAUAAAAUCUGCUUGUAAAUCUGUACAGCUUUUGCUUGUUGGUGUGCAAAGUAGUUGGAAUGAUCCCCCUUGCACCCAACGUUUGCGCAUUCGCCGAAUAAAUCAUACCUGCUUUAUAACCUAAUCUCCAGGUUAUAGAGUUUGAUUCCACAAGUCACUACUCCAGCUACCUAAACUCUAUGAUUACAAAUUACUUUGCCUAUAUUUUGAGCAUGCAUUCCUGGGGAAGGUUCAUCUAAAAGAUAAGUGAUAAAAACUACCAGAGAUUCCCCAAAAGAACUAAAAGAACUAUGACAGCAGAGACCAUAAAAUAAAAAUUCUUAUAUUGUUCUAAUGCAGAAAAAACAUUUGAUUCCCACACUACUGCUAAGCAAACCAACCUGUAUCAGGUUGACAGUUGGUCUUGAUGCCCUUAGCAGCCUUUCUAACCCAAAUGAUACUAUGAUUUUGCCCCCAAGCUCUUAUUAACAGUAGAGGUUGCUGUGACCCAGGUGCAGCCCUUGCACGUGGUGUUGCUGAACCUACAAGAAUUGGAGCUAAGAAAUGUAAGAGUGCACCUGUGGACAUACAAUAUGACAGCUUUUGUACCUUGUCUCCCCCAAGCUUCCCCCCUCCCCUGUUUUCCCAUUCUCUGGGUACUCCAGGUUCACAAUCUUACUGAAAGUUUACAUCCGUUAAUUACAUUCUGACAGUUAGUUCACAGUCUGUCUUGUUGCCAUUCUGUUGUUUCCAGGAUGUCUCAGUACUCUCCUUAUCGUAUUGACAGGGUGAAUCUCUCCAAGGCCUCUUCCAUUCUGUCCAAAGGACGCUCCAUGUGUUAAACAAAGAGCACUGGGGGGUUAUCAGGUCUUCCCUUUGCUUCUUCAGGCAGGCAUGUUCCAAGUUGUAUCAAUCUCUUGUGCAGGAUAUUCUUGCAAUGUGUAGAGCAUGCAACAAGGUAUUACAUAUAUAUUCAUACUGACUAAACAUAAAUUUGCUAACUAUACAUUUAUAUUGCUAAUUAUUUAACUUCUCCUCCUUAAAUUUUCUAUCACUCAGGUCUUGUCUGUCCUGCACCAAAAAUUAGUAGUCUUCCAACAGAACGAGCCUAUUGAUAUCCUUGUCAAGUAUUUUUGAUUUGUAAAGGCAUUAUCACACUGUUUAGGAGUGGGAUGUUUAACUUUUCUUUAGCUCAAGGCUCAGAAGUAUUCCAGAUGGCUGGACAGACAAGAGCUGCAGUCUUUGUACCUAUACAUUACCCCAUUACCUCAUCUCUGUGACUCAGGUGUAUAUGCCCGUUCAUCAGUUAGCUCCUUUCCUUCUAUAUCAUUAAUUAAAUCCCUAUCCUCUCUAGAAUACUUUGCAGGUUCUGAUUCAGGUUUGGAGAUUUGAAGUUUACCGUCUGGAAUUAAAGUUAGUACAGUGAUUUCUUUUCCUUCAGUUGCCUGUUUUGCCACCUUAUUUCCAGUCUCCUGUACAGUGUUACCUUUCUGAUGUCCUCUGCAGUAUCUAAUAGCCACUCUGGUAGAUUUAGAGCUUCCCAUAGAUGCAGGAUUUCCUUGGCAUGCUUAAUUUGUUUUCCUUGUGCUGUGAGCAAUCCUGGCUCUUUCCAGAUGGCACCCUUAGCAUGUACCACCCUAAAUGCAUAUUUAGAAUCUGUCCAUACGUUUAUGCUUUUUCCUCUUGCCAACUCUAAAGCUCUUGUCAAGGCAGUUAUUUCAGCCUUCAGAGCAGAAGUCCCCACGGGUAAUGGUUGUGCUUUGAUUACCUUGUCAGUAGUAGCUACUGCAUAUCCUUGUCUCACAAAACUGCUUCGUCUGUGAAGCAGGAAUCCUCAGCAUGAUCCAAUGGUUCCGCCUUUGGGUCCGGCCCACUGGCACAGGCAGUCUCCAUGCUUUCCAAGCAGUCGUGCACUACUGGCUCAGAGGUGGCUCCCUGAGGAAAGAUGCUGCGUUCACAGUGAGAGAAUAACCAAAAUGGUUUUGUACUGUCCAGGAGGCCUAGGGCUGGAGCUCUCAUUGGUUCCUUCUUCAAUUCUUCAAAUGCCCUCUUUGCCUCACCAGUCCAUGUCAGCACAGACUGAUUAUUUUUCAGUAAUUCAUAUAAAGGUUUUACCAAAGGCCCAUAAUUAUAGAUCCAUAGUCUGCACUAACCUGUCAUGCCAAGGAAGGUUCUGAGAUCUUUUACCAUCUGCAGUCUGGGUGUUCAGCAAAUCACUUCCUUUUGUUCUGUUUCAACUUCUCUUUGUCCUCCCAGGAUCUCAAAUCCAAGGUAAAUCACCUGCUGCUGAAUUCACUGAGCUUUCUGUUGAGAAACUCGAUAACCAUUUAAACCAAGAAAAUUAAACAUGCUCACAGUCCACUAUACACAGUCCUCUUGUUAUUGUGGCAGUGAGGAGGUCGUCCACGUAAUGCAAUAAAGUUCCACUUGUGAGUGGAGGGCCCAAGCUCUGAGCUCACGAGCCAGCUGGUUCCCAAGAACUGUAGGCUGUUCUUAAGACCCUGGGUAACACUGUCCAGGUUAACUGAGCCCUCCCAGUAUUGGGGUUUUCCAAUUCAAAGACAAGUAACUUUGCACUUUCUUUGGCUAAAGCCAGGCAAAAGAAGGCAUCCUUCAAAUCCAGGACGGUAAACUACACCUGCUCAUCCCUCAGCCUGGUUAAUAAAGGGUACAGAUUUACCACCCUAUAUCUUCAGCCAUCCUAGUGAUGGCCAUCAGAUCCUGCACCAAGCAACAGCUCUUGCUGUUUGACUUUACACCAGCAAGACUGGGAUGUUAGAGUCAGAUUCACAUUCAGUUACUAAUCCAAACUCCAGAAAGUUAUCUGUUAUUACUUUUAUUCCUUUAUGAUCUUGUAUCCUCAAAAUGUGCUGCUUUACCCUGACAGGGCUGGCUCAUGUUUUUAACUUAUCAGGGCUGCAUUUUUGGUUCUGCUUGGCAUCCCUGACAUCCACACACCUAAAUGUUCCUCAUUCAGGAUUUCCAUAAUUUCUGGGGAUAUCACAUUGUUCUUCCCAAUCUGUGUGAAAGCCAGGUUUAAAAUUUCAAUCAAUUGGUUUUCCUUGACCCCUAGCUCCAAUUUUCCUUUGUUGUAUUUAAUCUCUGCAUUCUAUUGUUCUAAUAAGUCUCACCUGAGUAACAGUGUCAGAGAACCUGGCUUGUACAAGGAUUUAUGUAUUCCUGCUUGCUUUUCCAUUCUGUAUUUAAUUGGUUUUGAAGAGUAGCCUUUUCUGGUUGUCCCUGGAUAAAUUAAUUGAGGAGGCUCCCACUACUGUUACAAUAUCAGCAUCUACGGGUGAUACUUCUUCAUUUAGCACAGAGUAAGAGGCACCCGUAUCCACCAGAAUAUUAACUUCCUACCCUGCUCCCCUAGCUGCAAUGUAACCAGGGGGUCUGCUAGGGUAGACUCCCCUGGUUCCUGUCAUCCCUGCCAUCAGGGAUGGUUCCUCCCCCUCAGCCUGGGACAGCUUCUCCACCAGUGUCCCAUUUCCCUGCAGUUUGCACACUGAUUCUGGUCCAGUGGGGGAUGAAACCCUUCCUGGACCCUUCCAGAACCCCCUCUGCCUCUUCCUUGUGGUGGUCUCUGGGUCCCCACAUCAUGCUCUAGUGCUAUUCUUCUUCUCAGUUUCUUUCUUUCCUUUCUAUCCCUGUUUCUAUACACUCUCCAGGCCUCCUCAAUUAAUUUAUCCAGGCCCAUUAAUUCUGAUGCUUUUAGCCUCUGAAGUUCCUUCCUGAUAUCCUCAGAGGAUUGGCUCAGAAACAAUGAUGCCAACAUGCGUUGCCCGCUAUCUGAUGAGGGAUCCAAAAGAGUAUAUUUUCUCAUGGCAGACCUGAGAUUAUCCAAAAAUUCAGUAGGGGUUUCGGUCUGCCCCUGUUUGACUGCAUAUACAGCUGACCAGUUUGCUGCUGGUAGUGGGAUUGCAUUCUCUAAACCAAGUUUUAUCCACUCUCUGUAUUGCUUUAACAGCUGAUAUUCGGCAGGAUCAUUUGGGUUCCAUUUAGGAUCUUCUAAGGGGAUGUAUUGUUCAAGCCUUCCCCACAGGGCACCAGCAAUGAUUCGUGCCUGCACUUGAGUCUGAGCACUCCUCAAUACCAGCUGCUUUUCUGGUUCAGACAUGAAAUCGAGCAUUAUGUCUAUAUCCCUCCAAUUAAGAUCCUGAUUUUUAACAAUCAACUCAAACCUUUUUGCCACCCCUGAGGGAUCAUUCCCGUAACUUUUCACUGCUUCCUUCCAGCUAUCCAAAUCACUUGUAGAGAAUGGGGCCUUGAUUUUCACUGGUCCCUUUGGUCCUACAACCUGCAUUAGAGGUGCCAGUAUUACAGGUUCCUUUUUGCUGCCAUUUCUUGUAGUGAUUUGAGAACCCCCCCCGGCUGCUCCUGCCUCCUUUCGAUCUGCCUUUGCUUCCUGUUCUUCCUCAUCUGAGAAUCCCUUCUGCUUCUCAGCCUGCGGAGACACAUCGUCUUCUAAUCUUUCCUUUCCACCUCCAUUUCUCAGACACUUCUCUCCUAUGCUGCAAGCUGAGCAACACUGCUUUAACGUUCCAUUAGGCCUCUUCUGCUCUUUCUCUAGAGCCAGCACUAAAGGACGCUGUGGAGCCCAGUUAAUUCUACAUCCUUUCUGCCAUUCAGGGUGGUUUCGUAAAGUGAAAAACAUAUCGGCAUAUGGCACCUCGUCCCAUUUCCCUUCUCUCCUCAAAAACAACAUAAGUUCCAGCAUAGUCUUAUAAUUCAGAGUUCCAUUAAACGGCCACCUUUCCUGAGAUUCCAGCUUAUACGAUGGCCAGCACUGGUUACAGUAUUUGAUCAGAGUUUUCUUGUUUAUGUUUCCCCCAGGAGGUCCCCCAAUAUCCCUCCAAUGAGCCAGCACACAUCCCAGGGGGCUCUGCUUCACAAUUCCCUUGCUCUGUUUGCCACCCAUUAUAUGCAGUUCAGAUGAACGUACACUUAGCAGAAUCACUGUUACAAAGAUGCCUCAAACUCCACCGAUUCUAAUUCCGUAUACCAUUAAAACAAUUUAUCCAACUCCCUCCAGAAAUUACAAGUAAAGCAGUGAAGCUAUUGCCUAAAGUUCUGAUCUACCCAGCACUGAGCCCCACAAAUGGGACACUUGCUUAUAGGAAUGGGUCCUGUUGUUGUGUACCCGCUUCCUUAGGCAUUAAGCAGAAUACAAUACGUUGAACAAAGCAAAAAGUUACAGAAGCUGAAUUUCAAAACCCAUACAUGACCAGCAAGACACAACCUACAGCUGGGUAUUUUCCAAAUGUCUACCAACCCGCUCUAUGCCAACCCUGCGACCUCAGCCAGCUCACGGCUGGCUUCCAAUGGUCCCCAAAGCAGCCCCGCAAUCUCGGCUGGCUCACGGAGCAGCCUCCAAUGAACCAGUCCCAGAACUUGAAAGCAAAGAAUACCUUUGUCAGAUGUUCCCUGUCUGCUCCCGCAGCGAUCCGAUUGAGGCGAGGAGUCCCUCCAGAGAACUCUCCAGGGGUGCCCAGGGAGUCCUGUUCUCAACGGGUCCUGCAGCUGAGCAGAGAUGUUCCCAUCUGCAGUGCCCAACUGGCUCAAAGAAUCGCAGCGAGGAACUGAGCAGCCAAGUUUUGUUACUGUUAAGCAGGCUCCGGAUGAAGCCGCUCUGACCGCGCUGGCACAGACCCUGCAGCAGCACAGCAUUGACCACGAGGUGUGGACAGAGCAGCCUGA